Molecule: ribosomal RNA, 253 nt
Filed under: uncultured Oscillospira sp.
Lineage: Bacteria; Bacillati; Bacillota; Clostridia; Eubacteriales; Oscillospiraceae
Description: partial 16S ribosomal RNA
Rfam family: Bacterial small subunit ribosomal RNA
Source: RNAcentral
UACGUAGGUGGCAAGCGUUAUCCGGAUUUAUUGGGUGUAAAGGGCGUGUAGGCGGGAGCGCAAGUCAGAUGUGAAAACUCAGGGCUCAACCCUGAGCCUGCAUUUGAAACUGUGUUUCUUGAGUGCUGGAGAGGCAAUCGGAAUUCCGUGUGUAGCGGUGAAAUGCGUAGAUAUACGGAGGAACACCAGUGGCGAAGGCAGCAUACCGGUGCACAACUGACGCUCAGGCACGAAAGCGUGGGUAUCGAACAGG